RNAcentral lists this ribosomal RNA (289 nucleotides) under Salmonella enterica subsp. enterica serovar Typhimurium. RNAcentral's name for it is "partial 23S ribosomal RNA". It matches the Rfam family "Bacterial large subunit ribosomal RNA", at positions 99 to 428 of the family's 2925-position model. The record is from RNAcentral. Lineage: Bacteria; Pseudomonadati; Pseudomonadota; Gammaproteobacteria; Enterobacterales; Enterobacteriaceae.
UAUAACCGGCGAUACCCGAAUGGGGAAACCCAGUGUGAUUCGUCACACUAUCAUUAACUGAAUCCAUAGGUUAAUGAGGCGAACCGGGGGAACUGAAACAUCUAAGUACCCCGAGGAAAAGAAAUCAACCGAGAUUCCCCCAGUAGCGGCGAGCGAACGGGGAGGAGCCCAGAGCCUGAAUCAGCAUGUGUGUUAGUGGAAGCGUCUGGAAAGGCGCGCGAUACAGGGUGACAGCCCCGUACACAAAAGCGCAUGUGCUGUGAGCUCGAUGAGUAGGGCGGGACACGUG